CGGGAGCUCUAAUAACAAAACUGUUUCUGCAGAUAAAUGUUGUUUUUCCAACGUUGGCCGCCUCGCAAAAGUUGCUCCGCUUACACUCCCUCUUCCUACAGAAAGAGUGUGCUCCAAGGGGAGAGAAAGAGAACGAGAACGAGAGUAGAAAGCACCGCUAAUCGCAAUUUCACAGCGCACAAAUCGCACGCCAUUUUCUAGUAUGCUC
Drosophila persimilis is the source of this 208-nucleotide long non-coding RNA. RefSeq lists it as uncharacterized. The transcript has 3 exons. The record is from RefSeq and is a predicted model, not a curated record. NCBI's taxonomy places the organism in Eukaryota, Metazoa, Arthropoda, Insecta, Diptera, Drosophilidae.